UCUUCAUUUCACGUGCUCUCUCACCGGUCAGAGUGACGAGAAAGUGUGCGAAAUGAAGAGA
Molecule: non-coding RNA, 61 nt
Organism: Pristionchus pacificus
Lineage: Eukaryota; Metazoa; Nematoda; Chromadorea; Rhabditida; Neodiplogasteridae
Source: Rfam